GCAGCAGUGGGGAAUAUUGGACAAUGGGCGAAAGCCUGAUCCAGCAACGCCGCGUGAGGGAUGACGGCCUUCGGGUUGUAAACCUCUUUCAGCACAGACGAAGCGCAAGUGACGGUACGUGCAGAAGAAGCACCGGCCAACUACGUGCCAGCAGCCGCGGUAAUACGUAGGGUGCGAGCGUUGUCCGGAAUUAUUGGGCGUAAAGGGCUCGUAGGCGGUUUGUCGCGUCGGGAGUGAAAACUCGGGGCUUAACUCCGAGCCUGCUUCCGAUACGGGCAGACUAGAGGUAUGCAGGGGAGAACGGAAUUCCUGGUGUAGCGGUGAAAUGCGCAGAUAUCAGGAGGAACACCGGUGGCGAAGGCGGUUCUCUGGGCAUUACCUGACGCUGAGGAGCGAAAGUGUGGGGAGCGAACAGGAUUAGAUACCCUGGUAGUCCACACCGUAAACGUUGGGCGCUAGGGGUGGGGGGGGUAACCCCAUUCCG
RNAcentral lists this ribosomal RNA (484 nucleotides) under uncultured bacterium. Its description in RNAcentral is "bacterial SSU rRNA". It matches the Rfam family "Bacterial small subunit ribosomal RNA", at positions 348 to 843 of the family's 1533-position model. The record is from RNAcentral.